GCAGCCGCGGUAAUUCCAGCUCCAAUAGCGUAUAUUAAAGUUGCUGCAGUUAAAAAGCUCGUAGUUGGAUCUCGGUGUCACUGUUGCCUGUCAGUCAUUGGGCAGUUGGUUAUUGGUAUGCGGCCUCUGCUUGCGUGCCGUGAUCGGCUGUUCCAAGCUGGCGCGGUGGUGGUGUUACCUUUCAGCCAUGUCUGUGGUGAAAUACCCACAGGUGUAGGCGGGUGUCAGGCGGUGCCUUGCGACAGUAGGGCCCGUCGGCUCGUUUGCAUGCCUUUGGAUGCCCUUUAAAAGGUGUCUGCGGGCGGAUGGCACGUUUACUUUGAACAAAUUUGAGUGCUCAAACCAGGCCGAUGUUGCCUGAAAAGUUUUGCAUGGAAUAAUGGAAUAGGACUUCGGUUCUAUUUCGUUGGUUUUCGGAUCCGAAGUAAUGAUCAAAAGAGACAGGCGGGGACGUUUGUAUGGCUGCGCUAGAGGUGAAAUUCAUGGACCGUAGCCAGACAAACUAAAGCGAAAGCAUUCGUCAAGCAUGUUUUCAUUGGCCAUGAGCGAAAGUCAGAGGCUCGAAGACGAUCAGAUACCGUCCUAGUUCUGACCAUAAACGAUGCCAACUGAUGAUCCGUGGUGGUAGUCUAUCAACCUUCCCCACGGGCAGUCCCCGGGAAACCUUUAAGUCUUUGGGUUCCGGGGGAAGUAUGGUUGCAAAGCUGAAACUUAAAGGAAUUGACGGAAGGGCACCACCAGGAGUGGAGCCUGCGGCUUAAUUUGACUCAACACGGGAAAACUCACCCGGCCCGGACACUAUGAGGAUUGACAGAUUAAAAGCUCUUUCUUGAUUUGGUGGUUGGUGGUGCAUGGCCGUUCUUAGUUGGUGGAGCGAUUUGUCUGGUUAAUUCCGAUAACGAACGAGACUCCUGCCUGCUAAUUAGUGCAUUCGUCCACUGUUCCUGUGUAGGCGGCGUUUGGCAAGGCUGCUGCUUUAUGCUGCCGGUGUUUGAGCAUGCCCUCGGGUGUGUUUGGCACAUGGCGGUUCGGCUGCGGCUGGUCCGGCGUUAGCUUCCGGGUACGGCGCGGGUGCUUACUUCUUAGAGGGACAAGCGGGAGAAGCCGCACGAAAUAGAGCAAUAACAGGUCUGUGAUGCCCUUAGAUGUCCGGGGCCGCACGCGCGCUACAAUGACGGUGGCAAUGAGUCUGACCCCCUGGCCCGAAAGGGUUGGGUAAACUGGUCAAUCACCGUCAUGACAGGGAUCGGGGCUUGGAAUUGUUCCCCGUGAACGAGGAAUUCCUAGUAAGUGCAAGUCAUAAGCUUGUGCUGAUUACGUCCCUGCCCUUUGUACACACCGCCCGUCGCUACUACCGAUUGAAUGGUUUAGUAAGGUCCUUGGAUUGGCGCCAUUGUGGUUGCUGCCGAAAGGUAGUCCGCGAACGGUGCUGAGAAGACGACCAAACUUAUCAUUUAGAGGAAGUAAAAGUCGUAACAAG
RNAcentral lists this ribosomal RNA (1480 nucleotides) under Caulobothrium sp. RNAcentral describes it as "SSU rRNA". It matches the Rfam family "Eukaryotic small subunit ribosomal RNA", at positions 570 to 1798 of the family's 1831-position model. The record is from RNAcentral. Lineage: Eukaryota; Metazoa; Platyhelminthes; Cestoda; Tetraphyllidea.